This is a long non-coding RNA of Mercenaria mercenaria, 1045 nucleotides long. RefSeq lists it as uncharacterized. The record is from RefSeq and is a predicted model, not a curated record. Lineage: Eukaryota; Metazoa; Mollusca; Bivalvia; Venerida; Veneridae. The transcript is spliced from 3 exons.
UUUAGUUUAAACAAAGUAAAGUACCAAUUUCUGGACUUAAGAAAUCUUGAUUGUGAGUGAAUGCAUACGCUUGUUUAUUGCUAUUUUUCUGUUAAAGGACAUUUUACAAGCACAAAAACAGGACAUAAAAGAUUGCGGCUGGUGGAAAACUUGGAAUUUCGCAGAUUGGCGCAUCUGACGCGUUACAUGAUUUCACCUGUGUACCAUGUUUCGACGAUGGCAAAAACACGGAAGCUCUGUUCCAGUGUACUGACUGCCAGAUCUUCUAUUGUCAAAGAUGUGUGACAGGUCACAACAAAUUAACCAAAAAUCACAAUGUAAUUGAUAAGGCUUCACGACUCUUUGGUCAAGGUCAGAGACAACCAAAAUUACCUUCUUCCGGUGAACUGCCGACGGAUUUAUGCGAGGAGCAUCAUGGACAAGUGAUACAGAUGUUCUGUGGACAACAUGACACGGUGUGCUGUACAAUAUGUAUUGCUGUGAAACACAGGUCCUGUGAAGGCGUAGAAUAUAUCCCAAACAUUGCCAAAGGACUUUUGAAGAAACAGGACAAAGACAAAACUAAAACAUCUUUGGAGAAAGUUUAAGAUGAUUUGCAGUAUUUGAAGUCCAAAAUGCAAAAUGAAUUGAAGAAGCUGAAUGUCCAACGUGAUGGUAUACUUGAUGAUAUACAACCGUUUAAGAAACGCAUUAUAGCCAAAAUUGAAGAGUUGGAGAGAAAAUCAAUAAAAGAGGUACAAGACAAGCACAAAGAGUUUGCAGACAAAAUAACUACUAGCAGCAAGAAAAUCGAUGACAUACUGAAAGAUUUUGAACAACAACUUGACAAGCUCAAACAAUUCAGAAGUAACAAUGAAGCUCAGGUUUUUGUAGACAUUAAGGUUGGUGAAGAGAAGAUAUCAGAUGGGAGUGAUUGUGCCAGACAAGCUACUGCUGAAAGGGUGGGAACUAUGGUAUUUGAGGUUAACAGAAGCGUAGAGACUUGUCUUAGCAAUGUACAGUCUCUAGGUAAACUAGCAUUCCAUAUUCCGGAGGACGAUAUUGG